This is a long non-coding RNA of Gossypium arboreum, 530 nucleotides long. RefSeq lists it as uncharacterized. The transcript has 3 exons. Lineage: Eukaryota; Viridiplantae; Streptophyta; Magnoliopsida; Malvales; Malvaceae. The record is from RefSeq and is a predicted model, not a curated record.
GGUUGACUUUGGUUCAACACACUCGUAUGUUUUGAGUGAACUAGCCAGAGAGUUGGGAAUAGCAGAAAAUACCAUAGAAAAAGGUGCGACUGUUACUAGUUCAUUUAGGGAUAGUAUGUUAGCUAAUGGAGUAUACCGUCAGUGUCCACUGGAGGAAUAAUCGAUCCCCACCGUUCGGCAACUCAGAUCUGAAAAAUUAGGAAGCAUACUGGUCUAAAUGCCCUGAACCAGCAGUGAAGACGAUUACUUGUUGCGCCCUCGUUUCGCACUGAAUCAGUGUAAGUGGUUUAAACGAUUUGGUUUCGUAAAUUGGACAUGGUAGAACUGAUUUAGCCAAACCCUUAGAGGGUGUUUUAAUGUUGGUUUAACAACAUCUUAACUUUAUAAAUGUUGUAUUUUGUUUGAGGUACGAGUUAAUUUUAAGGGAGGAAGUGCGAACUCCGCAAAAAUAGUGUUGCGGUUUUGCGAUUUUAAAGUAUGGGUUCCAACUUCUAAAAUUAAGUGUUAAAAUUAUAUUUUUAGUGUUUAAA